Drosophila biarmipes is the source of this 462-nucleotide long non-coding RNA. RefSeq lists it as uncharacterized. NCBI's taxonomy places the organism in Eukaryota, Metazoa, Arthropoda, Insecta, Diptera, Drosophilidae. The transcript has 2 exons. The record is from RefSeq and is a predicted model, not a curated record.
AUGUAUAUAUACACACAUCUCUAAAUUAGACCUUAGGGGCUCUCUAGUGGGGAGAUGGAGCAGACAGGCGACAUCUCGGAUUUUUUUCUUUUUGGAAAACGUGUAGGCAUUUUUAAAUUGGCAGUGGAAUGCCUUAGAAGUUUUAAAAGCCCACAUUAUUUUCCCGCAAAGAGGCCUGCCACAGACAUGAUAACAAAGCCAGGAUUUCGGCUGCUGCCAGAUGAGCGACCACAGGCAGCGGAGUUGGCCGGCUUGCUGGACCUGGUCAAGUGCACCCUGGCGUAUGCUUAAUGCCAAUUAGACAUGCGUGCGCUUUUAAUUAAGAGCAGCAUGAAUACUUAAUGCAAACCGGGGGCAGGAUGAGCGGCAGCAGCUGGCCAAGGCCAGUGCGGCGUAUGUGCGAUUUCUGUUUCUGUUUCAGUUCGGUUCAAGUAAAUAAACUUGAUGAAAAUUCAAGCCAAA